Molecule: ribosomal RNA, 565 nt
Filed under: uncultured ciliate
Lineage: Eukaryota; Ciliophora
Description: SSU rRNA
Rfam family: Eukaryotic small subunit ribosomal RNA
Source: RNAcentral
CUGAGAAAUGGCUACCACAUCUAAGGAAGGCAGCAGGCGCGUAAAUUACCCAAUCCUAAUUCAGGGAGGUAGUGACAAGAAAUAACAACUCGGACCUCACACGAGGUUACGGGAUUGCAAUGAGAACAAUUUAAACCACUUAUCGAGCAACAAUUGGAGGGCAAGUCUGGUGCCAGCAGCCGCGGUAAUCCCAGCUCCAAUAGCGUAUAUUAAAGUUGUUGCAGUUAAAAAGCUCGUAGCUGAAUUUCUGGCCAGCGCUGUUCUCGGCUCUCGCAGUCGGUUCAGUGUUUGGUCAUCCGUAUGGGAAGCUAGCUCGGCCUUCACUGGUCGGCUAGUGGAUCAUACACUUUACUUUGAAAGAAUUAGAGUGUUUCAGGCAGGCAAUUGCUUGGAUACUUCAGCGUGGAAUAAUGGAAUAGGACUUUGACCUAUUUGUUGGUUUCUUCGAGGUCAAGGUAAUGAUUAAUAGGGACAGUUGGGGGCAUUCAUAUUUAAUUGUCAGAGGUGAAAUUCUUGGAUUUAUUAAAGAUGAACUUAUGCGAAAGCAUUUGCCAAGGAGUUUUCA